Molecule: non-coding RNA, 73 nt
Organism: Entophlyctis helioformis
Lineage: Eukaryota; Fungi; Chytridiomycota; Chytridiomycetes; Chytridiales; Chytriomycetaceae
Source: the annotation of a GenBank genome assembly
GCCUCCUUAGCUCAGUGGUAGUAGCGCUUGCCUAGUAAGCAAGAGGUCAGGUGUUCAAAUCACCUAGGAGGCA